This is a long non-coding RNA of Phlebotomus argentipes, 376 nucleotides long. RefSeq lists it as uncharacterized. The record is from RefSeq and is a predicted model, not a curated record. NCBI's taxonomy places the organism in Eukaryota, Metazoa, Arthropoda, Insecta, Diptera, Psychodidae. The transcript is spliced from 2 exons.
UCUGUGAUAAGAGAAUCACGACAAUUUGAGUAUAAAUACUCAGGAGUUUUCCUCAAUUGACAUAGUCAGUUUGAGAAGUCAACUGAAGCAAUCCAAAUCAAUCCAAAAUGAUGAAGUUCCUGUUCUUCGCCCUCCUCGUCGUCCUGGCCGUUGCCACCGCCUUCGCUGCUCCUGAGCCAGCUCCAGGUCCAGCUCCAUUCCCUGCUCCUCUGCCAGCUCCCCAGGGUGGAUAUUACCCCUAUGGAUACUAUGGAUACUACUAAACCUGGAGCCAAGGACGCGACGUUAAGACGAACUAUUUGACCACUCUUAAAUGAAAACUUUCAAAAUUGUUUAAAUCUCAGAAAAUGAAUAAAUAUGUACAUUGAAGAAUGAA